AAUAGAUACCCAGGUAGUCCACGCCGUAAACGGUGGGCACUAGAUGUGGGGGCUCUUUCCAUGAGUUCCGCGUCGCAGCUAAACGCAUUAAGUGCCCCCGCCUGGGGAGUACGGCCGCAAGGCUAAAACUCAAAGGAAUUGACGGGGGGCCCGCACAAGCGGCGGAGUAUGCGGAUUAAUUCGAUGCAACGCGAAGAACCUUACCAAGGCUUGACAUAUACGGUCUAUCCCUAGAGAUAGGGAGUGCUUCGGCGCCGUAUACAGGUGGUGCAUGGUUGUCGUCAGCUCGUGUCGUGAGAUGUUGGGUUAAGUCCCGCAACGAGCGCAACCCUCGUUCUAUGUUGCCAGCACGUAAUGGUGGGGACUCAUAGGAGACUGCCGGGGUCAACUCGGAGGAAGGUGGGGAUGACGUCAAAUCAUCAUGCCCCUUAUGUCUUGGGCUUUACGCAUGCUACAAUGGCCGGUACAAAGGGCUGCAAUACCGUAAGGUGGAGCGAAUCCCAAAAAGCCGGUCUCAGUUCGGAUUGAGGUCUGCAACUCCG
This 542-nucleotide ribosomal RNA is filed under the name uncultured bacterium. Its description in RNAcentral is "bacterial SSU rRNA". It matches the Rfam family "Bacterial small subunit ribosomal RNA", at positions 777 to 1314 of the family's 1533-position model. The record is from RNAcentral.